GGCUUCGGAGUGUCAUCACGUGCGGUUGCAAACCGCAAGAAGCAGGUAAUACCUGCCGGGGCUU
RNAcentral lists this transfer RNA (64 nucleotides) under Amolops ricketti (Chinese sucker frog). RNAcentral describes it as "tRNA-Cys". RNAcentral also lists the same sequence under 1 other name. The record is from RNAcentral. Lineage: Eukaryota; Metazoa; Chordata; Amphibia; Anura; Ranidae.